GACGAACGCUGGCGGCGUGCUUAACACAUGCAAGUCGAACGGAAAGGCCCUGCUUUUGUGGGGUGCUCGAGUGGCGAACGGGUGAGUAACACGUGAGUAACCUGCCCUUGACUUUGGGAUAACUUCAGGAAACUGGGGCUAAUACCGGAUAGGAGCUCCUGCUGCAUGGUGGGGGUUGGAAAGUUUCGGCGGUUGGGGAUGGACUCGCGGCUUAUCAGCUUGUUGGUGGGGUAGUGGCUUACCAAGGCUUUGACGGGUAGCCGGCCUGAGAGGGUGACCGGCCACAUUGGGACUGAGAUACGGCCCAGACUCCUACGGGAGGCAGCAGUGGGGAAUAUUGCACAAUGGGCGGAAGCCUGAUGCAGCAACGCCGCGUGCGGGAUGACGGCCUUCGGGUUGUAAACCGCUUUCGCCUGUGACGAAGCGUGAGUGACGGUAAUGGGUAAAGAAGCACCGGCUAACUACGUGCCAGCAGCCGCGGUGGUACGUAGGGUGCGAGCGUUGUCCGGAUUUAUUGGGCGUAAAGGGCUCGUAGGUGGUUGAUCGCGUCGGAAGUGUAAUCUUGGGGCUUAACCCUGAGCGUGCUUUCGAUACGGGUUGACUUGAGGAAGGUAGGGGAGAAUGGAAUUCCUGGUGGAGCGGUGGAAUGCGCAGAUAUCAGGAGGAACACCAGUGGCGAAGGCGGUUCUCUGGGCCUUUCCUGACGCUGAGGAGCGAAAGCGUGGGGAGCGAACAGGCUUAGAUACCCUGGUAGUCCACGCUGUAAACGGUGGGUACUAGGUGUGGGGUCCAUUCCACGGGUUCCGUGCCGUAGCUAACGCUUUAAGUACCCCGCCUGGGGAGUACGGCCGCAAGGCUAAAACUCAAAGGAAUUGACGGGGCCCCGCACAAGCGGCGGAGCAUGCGGAUUAAUUCGAUGCAACGCGUAGAACCUUACCUGGGUUUGACAUGGAUCGGGAGCGCUCAGAGAUGGGUGUGCCUCUUUUGGGGUCGGUUCACAGGUGGUGCAUGGCUGUCGUCAGCUCGUGUCGUGAGAUGUUGGGUUAAGUCCCGCAACGAGCGCAACCCUUGUUCACUGUUGCCAGCACGUUAUGGUGGGGACUCAGUGGAGACCGCCGGGGUUAACUCGGAGGAAGGUGGGGAUGACGUCAAGUCAUCAUGCCCCUUAUGUCCAGGGCUUCACGCAUGCUACAAUGGCUGGUACAGAGAGUGGCGAGCCUGUGAGGGUGAGCGAAUCUCGGAAAGCCGGUCUCAGUUCGGAUUGGGGUCUGCAACUCGACCUCAUGAAGUCGGAGUCGCUAGUAGUCGCAGAUCAGCAACGCUGCGGUGAAUACGUUCCCGGGGCU
RNAcentral lists this ribosomal RNA (1346 nucleotides) under uncultured bacterium. RNAcentral describes it as "bacterial SSU rRNA". It matches the Rfam family "Bacterial small subunit ribosomal RNA", at positions 28 to 1381 of the family's 1533-position model. The record is from RNAcentral.